GGGCCUGUAGCUCAGGGGUUAGAGCGUGCGGCUCAUAACCGCUUGGUCAUGGGUUCGAAUCCCAUCGGGCCCACCA
This 76-nucleotide transfer RNA is filed under the name Fimbriimonas ginsengisoli. RNAcentral's name for it is "tRNA-Ile". It matches the Rfam family "tRNA". From Rfam's summary of the family: Transfer RNA (tRNA) molecules are approximately 80 nucleotides in length. Their secondary structure includes four short double-helical elements and three loops (D, anti-codon, and T loops). Further hydrogen bonds mediate the characteristic L-shaped molecular structure. tRNAs have two regions of fundamental functional importance: the anti-codon, which is responsible for specific mRNA codon recognition, and the 3' end, to which the tRNAs corresponding amino acid is attached (by aminoacyl-tRNA synthetases). tRNAs cope with the degeneracy of the genetic code in two manners: having more than one tRNA (with a specific anti-codon) for a particular amino acid; and 'wobble' base-pairing, i.e. permitting non-standard base-pairing at the 3rd anti-codon position. The record is from RNAcentral. Lineage: Bacteria; Bacillati; Armatimonadota; Fimbriimonadia; Fimbriimonadales; Fimbriimonadaceae.